CCUACGGGGGGCUGCAGUGGGGAAUUUUGGACAAUGGGGGCAACCCUGAUCCAGCCAUUCCGCGUGAGUGAAGAAGGCCUUCGGGUUGUAAAGCUCUUUCGCAAGGGAAGAAAACUUACUCAAUAACACUGGGUGAGGCUGACGGUACCUUGAUAAGAAGCACCGGCUAACUACGUGCCAGCAGCCGCGGUAAUACGUAGGGUGCGUACGUUACUCGAAAUUACUGCGGGUGGUGCGGUAGCAGGCGGUUGAAAUCCCCGGGCUCAACCUGGGAACUGCGUUUGAAACUACAAGGCUAGAGUAUGGCAGAGGGGAGUAGAAUUCCACGUGUAGCAGUGAAAUGCGUAGAGAUGUGGAGGAAUACCAAUGGCGAAGGCAGCCCCCUGGGUCAAUACUGACGCUCAUGCACGAAAGCGUGGGGAGCAAACAGGAUUAGAUACCCCUGUAGUC
RNAcentral lists this ribosomal RNA (450 nucleotides) under uncultured bacterium. RNAcentral's name for it is "partial 16S ribosomal RNA". It matches the Rfam family "Bacterial small subunit ribosomal RNA", at positions 338 to 795 of the family's 1533-position model. The record is from RNAcentral.